This 253-nucleotide ribosomal RNA is filed under the name uncultured bacterium. RNAcentral describes it as "partial 16S ribosomal RNA". It matches the Rfam family "Bacterial small subunit ribosomal RNA", at positions 524 to 776 of the family's 1533-position model. The record is from RNAcentral.
UACGGAGGGGGCUAUCGUUGUUCGGAAUUAUUGGGCGUAAAGGGCGCGUAGGCGGCUUGGCAAGUGGAUGGUGAAAUCCCUCGGCUUAACCGAGGAACUGCCGUCCAAACUGCUUCGCUUGAGACCGGGAGAGGUGAGUGGAAUUCCCAGUGUAGCGGUGAAAUGCGUAGAUAUUGGGAGGAACACCAGUGGCGAAGGCGGCUCACUGGACCGGUACUGACGCUGAUGCGCGAAAGCGUGGGGAGCAAACAGG